This 463-nucleotide ribosomal RNA is filed under the name uncultured bacterium. Its description in RNAcentral is "bacterial SSU rRNA". It matches the Rfam family "Bacterial small subunit ribosomal RNA", at positions 335 to 796 of the family's 1533-position model. The record is from RNAcentral.
ACUCCUACGGGAGGCAGCAGUAGGGAAUAUUGGUCAAUGGGCGGAAGCCUGAACCAGCCAUGCCGCGUGAUGGAUGACGGCCUUAGGGUUGUAAACAUCUUUUCUACUAGAGGAAUAUAGUCCACGUGUGGACAGACGACUGUAUAGUAGGAAUAAGGAUCGGCUAACUCCGUGCCAGCAGCCGCGGUAAUACGGAGGAUUCGAGCGUUAUCCGGAUUUACUGGGUUUAAAGGGUGCGCAGGCGGGCUCUUAAGUCAGCGGUGAAAUGUCUGGGCUUACCCUGGGCCUUGCCGUUGAUACUGGGAGUCUUGGAUAAGCAUAAGGACGGCGGAAUGCGUAGUGUAGCGGUGAAAUGCUUAGAUAUUACGUAGAAGACCGAUUGCGAAGGCAGCUGUCUGGGUCUUUAUCGACGCUCAAGCACGAAAGCGUGGGUAGCGAACAGGAUUAGAUACCCUUGUAGUCC